GUCCACGCCAUAAACGAUGACAACUAGACGGUUGGGAGGGUAAGCCUCACAGUGUCGCAGCUAACGCGUUAAGUUGUCCGCCUGGGGAGUACGGCCGCAAAGGUUGAAAACUCAAAGGAAUUGACGGGGACCCCGCACAAGCGGUGGAGCAUGUGGUUUAAUUCGAUGCAACGCGAAGAACCUUACCUGGCCUUGACAUGUCUGGAAUCCCGAAGAGAUUUGGGAGUGCCGUAAGGAACCAGAACACAGGUGCUGCAUGGCUGUCGU
This 267-nucleotide ribosomal RNA is filed under the name uncultured bacterium. RNAcentral's name for it is "partial 16S ribosomal RNA". It matches the Rfam family "Bacterial small subunit ribosomal RNA", at positions 793 to 1055 of the family's 1533-position model. The record is from RNAcentral.